GGAGAGAUGGCAGAGUGGUCGAAUGCGGCCGACUUGAAAUCGGCUUCGGGGAAACCCGACGGGGGUUCGAAUCCCUCUCUCUCCG
RNAcentral lists this transfer RNA (85 nucleotides) under Gloeomargaritaceae cyanobacterium C42_A2020_066. It matches the Rfam family "tRNA". From Rfam's summary of the family: Transfer RNA (tRNA) molecules are approximately 80 nucleotides in length. Their secondary structure includes four short double-helical elements and three loops (D, anti-codon, and T loops). Further hydrogen bonds mediate the characteristic L-shaped molecular structure. tRNAs have two regions of fundamental functional importance: the anti-codon, which is responsible for specific mRNA codon recognition, and the 3' end, to which the tRNAs corresponding amino acid is attached (by aminoacyl-tRNA synthetases). tRNAs cope with the degeneracy of the genetic code in two manners: having more than one tRNA (with a specific anti-codon) for a particular amino acid; and 'wobble' base-pairing, i.e. permitting non-standard base-pairing at the 3rd anti-codon position. Lineage: Bacteria; Bacillati; Cyanobacteriota; Cyanophyceae; Gloeomargaritales; Gloeomargaritaceae. The record is from Rfam by way of RNAcentral.